Lates calcarifer (barramundi perch) is the source of this 1188-nucleotide long non-coding RNA. RefSeq lists it as uncharacterized. NCBI's taxonomy places the organism in Eukaryota, Metazoa, Chordata, Actinopteri, Centropomidae. The transcript has 4 exons. The record is from RefSeq and is a predicted model, not a curated record.
AAACUGAUAAGAUGGAAGACAAACAUGUUCUCAACAUGACUGAACCAUUAAAGGUUUGUACUGCCUGACCAUCUCUUUGAACCUGCACAAUAUCAAUCCUUAGUUUUUCCAACUGGAUUGCUGGAUGAGGUGGAGGAGGGAGAGGAGGGAGAGGAGGGAGAGGGGACUUGGGUUGUACCAAGUUGGGCAGUGCAGAGUUCAGGGGGCGGGGUUUGAAGUCACAGAAACUCUUCAAGCCACUGAGUCAAGCUACUGCUGAGGGAGAAACACAAACCAAAGCCAGUGGGUGUGUCUCAGGGAGAAGAGGGAGAGUCUGAACUCAGCUCUGAGAGGGUUUCAGAAGGAGCACUGACAUACAGGGCCUGUGUCCACCAGAGGGCGCUGAUGAGCUCAGGUGCUGAUGGCCCUCUGCCAUGCUCACCUCCAGUACCUGCAAAGCUUUUAAAAGCCUUAUUUCAGGGAAUCAAACACCGUAUAGACAAAGAACAAACUAAAUCUGAGACAGUGCAGCAACCACUCUCUUGGACUGAAACAUCUGUGGACGUCAGAUGUUUGGAUCUGAACCAACAGCCUGUUUAAAGGGCUGCUCCUCAUCAAGCCCCUGGGUCACAAAGGUCAAGAGGUUCUCAGUCUGUAUUUUGGAGCGUCAUUUCUCAGACUCCAGUCUUACUGGUGGGGUUUAGGCUUCAAGCCAGAUUCAUGUACUGUAUUUUGGUUCAAAUCAGCAAUGAAAUUCUGUUUUAUAAAUCUGGACUAGUUGCCUCAACAAAAGAAUUAGAUCCACAGCCAUUCUUUAAUUACCAGCAGCUGAUAUUCAGUCAUUUUGCAGAUAUAAUAACCAUUAAAGGUUUGUACUGCCUGACCAUCUCUUUGUACCUGCACAAUAUCAAUCCUUAGUUUUUCCAACUGGAUUGCUGGAUGAGGUGGAGGAGGGAGAGGAGGGAGAGGAGGGAGAGGGGACUUGGGUUGUACCAAGUUGGGCAGUGCAGAGUUCAGGGGGCGGGGUUUGAAGUCACAGAAACUCUUCAAGCCACUGAGUCAAGCUACUGCUGAGGGAGAAACACAAACCAAAGCCAGUGGGUGUGUCUCAGGGAGAAGAGGGAGAGUCUGAACUCAGCUCUGAGAGGGUUUCAGAAGGAGCACUGACAUGCAUGGUCUGUGUCCACCAGAGGGCGCUGAUGAGCUCAG